This is a non-coding RNA of Physcomitrium patens, 1441 nucleotides long. NCBI's taxonomy places the organism in Eukaryota, Viridiplantae, Streptophyta, Bryopsida, Funariales, Funariaceae. The record is from RefSeq and is a predicted model, not a curated record.
GGAUUCCAUCGGCCUACCAGAGUGCGCAACAAGCGCAUGACUGCUGCUGUCGUGGAGUGAUGAUCUAGAUAUCUGUGCCCUGCAUUCACCCCCAGCGAGAUAGGACUCGUCGAGUUUCGGAAGGAUUUAAGUUCAUGGCGUCGGCGUUAAGCUUGAUCAGCGUCACGGCGUCGCGGAAUACAUGUGUCGAUCUCGACAGAACAGGGGUCUGCGGAGGCGUCGUGGUGACGAUGCGGCGAUUGCUGGAUCCGCAGUGUAUCUGUCCCACGGGAUGUGUUACUGGGGUCAGAUAACGGCCAGACACAUGGAUUUCCACUCCGCAAUCUGGCGCUCGUAGAGAACUUUUUGCUAGCUUUGGCAUUUAGAUUUAAGAGCAUAGACUGAGUGGAUUCAUGAAGCGAUGAUUGUGAAGAGGAGUCGAUGUAUGUUGAAUGAUUUGCGACAAUGGAGCUAGAAAAGCUAGAAUCUAGCGAGAUAACACUGGUGGAAACAGAAGCUAGGACGAUAUCCAAGUUCUUCAGCUUGGCACAACUAAUGGGCAGAGAAGAGUCCUCAACAAGCCUCCGAUUCUGGCUAAGGGAGACCGAGCUGAGUGACGGGUGGGGAUCAGGUAGCUCCUCAACAACGAGGCAAGCAACGAUCCCCUUGUCGCCUUACGCAGGAUUUGAAAGCCCACAUAAGUCAAAAUUAAUGCAGCAAAGGCCAUGCAAGCCACAUCGUGCAGGUCGCGGUAUCUUCUGGUGCUUUCGGCACAGAAGUCUUAACCUGAUAUGAUGUGGCGAGAGUGUAAUGUAGCUGAAUUGAUUGUCGAUCAUCUUGUAUGCAAUUGGAGCAGACACUGCCGGAAUUAGUACCUAGUACAGUACUGCCAAGAAUUGGGCAUGCGGCAACGCUAUGCACAAGCGGUGCUGCACAUUGUACAGUUACUUUCAUGGACGAGGCUAGUGAUCAUCAGCACCAAUCUAACAAUAGUCAUCUACUCAAGGAGCCCACCUCUCCGGUUGUGAAUUGCAUAGGUCAAGUGCGACUUAAGAAGAAGCAGAGGCAGCAAGCUACUCCUUGGAGCCCUUCUUCCACUCAGUGACUUGCAUUGAUCACUGUCGAAAAACUAGCAUAUGUGACACGCUUGCUAAUGCGACGCGAUUGUAGUUCAAGCUUCAGUCCUAUUUUUGAUAGUAUCUAAGAAAAUGAAAACAACAAGUAGAUAAAGCGGGGAGUUCUGAGAAUUUGGAAGGGUAGGGCACAAGACCCUCUGCUUAGAGUGAGCUGGGCCUUUGAAAGCUUCCAAGGUUGAGUCUCGGAACCCAGUAGUAGCUGUUGAGGAUUUUGACAAUAUUAGAUUUCCUUCGUAAACAGAACUCCAGGAUUUCAGACAUCAUCGUACAAGAAUGGUAACCAAGUAUGUUUGCUACAAGAGAUUUUGAAUGCCAUUUGUGUCCGA